RNAcentral lists this ribosomal RNA (253 nucleotides) under uncultured bacterium. RNAcentral describes it as "partial 16S ribosomal RNA". It matches the Rfam family "Bacterial small subunit ribosomal RNA", at positions 524 to 776 of the family's 1533-position model. The record is from RNAcentral.
UACAGAGGUCCCAAGCGUUGUUCGGAAUCACUGGGCUUAAAGGGCGCGUAGGCGGGCUGUCAAGUCUGGGGUGAAAUCCCGCGGCUCAACCGUGGAACUGCCUCAGAUACUGACGGCCUCGAGGGAGGUAGGGGCGAGCGGAACUAAUGGUGGAGCGGUGAAAUGCGUUGAUAUCAUUAGGAACUCCGGUGGCGAAGGCGGCUCGCUGGACCUUUUCUGACGCUGAGGCGCGAAAGCUAGGGGAGCAAACGGG